Molecule: ribosomal RNA, 26 nt
Filed under: Saccharum robustum
Lineage: Eukaryota; Viridiplantae; Streptophyta; Magnoliopsida; Poales; Poaceae
Also listed under: 1 other name
Source: RNAcentral
UUGGGAAGUCCUCGUGUUGCAUUCCC